Molecule: regulatory RNA element, 32 nt
Organism: Flavobacterium branchiophilum FL-15
Lineage: Bacteria; Pseudomonadati; Bacteroidota; Flavobacteriia; Flavobacteriales; Flavobacteriaceae
Rfam family: S16-Flavobacteria ribosomal protein leader
Source: Rfam
AUUAAUCGAGGUCGAGUACCUCAAAAUUUAAU